CGACUGCAGGCCUUUGUCACUGGCAACUCAGAAACCAGUGACUAAAUCACCUAUGGCACCAUGAAAUGUCCCAAGAGGUUUUGUGGCCAUGUGGAACGAGGCCACCGCCAGCAACUGCAGCCGUGAUGAGAGUCCAGUUCUUCAUUUCCACGAAAGGCAAGUUGAGUGGGGGAAGAGACGGCGGGGCAGGAUGGCAAGAAGCCAGAUGCUCCACACGGCAGCGCCUGGCUUCCCACCUCGGAACCUAGACACAUGAAGCUCACUGCCCGGGGGACAGCACUUCUGCCAGGGCAGCACCACCGUGGCUUCGCCAGCUGGCCAGCAGGUCUUCCUGCUCACCGUCGUCCCUGGAGGGUCUCAACA
This is a long non-coding RNA of Tupaia belangeri chinensis (Chinese tree shrew), 363 nucleotides long. RefSeq lists it as uncharacterized. The record is from RefSeq and is a predicted model, not a curated record. NCBI's taxonomy places the organism in Eukaryota, Metazoa, Chordata, Mammalia, Scandentia, Tupaiidae. The transcript has 3 exons.